This 650-nucleotide ribosomal RNA is filed under the name Zophosis punctata. RNAcentral's name for it is "eukaryotic LSU rRNA". It matches the Rfam family "Eukaryotic large subunit ribosomal RNA", at positions 663 to 1265 of the family's 3401-position model. The record is from RNAcentral. Lineage: Eukaryota; Metazoa; Arthropoda; Insecta; Coleoptera; Tenebrionidae.
GGACCAAGGAGUCUAGCAUGUGCGCGAGUCAUUGGGACAUGACUAAACCUAAAGGCACAAUGAAAGUGAAAGUUCGCCUAGCGCGGACCUAGGGAGGAUGAGCGGUCGUUACGGCUGCCGCUCCGCACUCCCGGGGCGUCUCGUUCUCAUUGCGAGAAGAGGCGCACCAAGAGCGUACACGCUGGGACCCGAAAGAUGGUGAACUAUGCCUGGUCAGGACGAAGUCAGGGGAAACCCUGAUGGAGGUCCGUAGCGAUUCUGACGUGCAAAUCGAUCGUCGGAACUGGGUAUAGGGGCGAAAGACUAAUCGAACCAUCUAGUAGCUGGUUCCCUCCGAAGUUUCCCUCAGGAUAGCUGGCGCUUAUUGCGUACGAGUUUCAUCCGGUAAAGCGAAUGAUUAGAGGCAUUGGGGUCGAAACGGCCUCAACCUAUUCUCAAACUUUAAAUGGGUGAGAUCUCCGGCUUGCUCGAACUCUUUGAUGAAGCCGCGAGACUCGAAUCAGAGUGCCAAGUGGGCCAUUUUUGGUAAGCAGAACUGGCGCUGUGGGAUGAACCAAACGCCGAGUUAAAGCGCCUAAAUCGACGCUUAUGGGAUACCAUGAAAGGCGUUGGUAACUUAAGACAUCAGGACGGUGGCCAUGGAAGUCGGA